Xenia sp. Carnegie-2017 is the source of this 173-nucleotide long non-coding RNA. RefSeq lists it as uncharacterized. The record is from RefSeq and is a predicted model, not a curated record. Lineage: Eukaryota; Metazoa; Cnidaria; Anthozoa; Malacalcyonacea; Xeniidae. The transcript is spliced from 3 exons.
AGAGUUUAUUAAGAUAGAGUUGUACAAUCCAAGAAUAAUUCCCAAACUUGUUAAUCUUCUUCAGAAUGGAGCUAUAUUGAACAAGUCAUUUCAACCACACGAAGCUCAUGUUCCUUAUAUUCUACAGAAAUUUAUGCCUGGAUCCUACUGUGAAAAAAGUCAGUCGUUGUGAA